This 496-nucleotide long non-coding RNA is filed under the name Phoenix dactylifera (date palm). RNAcentral's name for it is "long non-coding RNA (PDAC_LNC008747)". The record is from RNAcentral. Lineage: Eukaryota; Viridiplantae; Streptophyta; Magnoliopsida; Arecales; Arecaceae.
GCACUUGAACCUAUGUUUUGGUUUACCCUCAUUCACGACAUUGCGUUGUGUACGGAGUAUUCUGGAUAUGGUGGAUUUUGUACGAAAGUUGUGAGUAAGUCAACAAGGAAUCAGUCACUUCUAGUAAGAGAAGGUAACAUCCUACUUACUCUAAUCUUAUGAUGAUUCAAGAAGCCUUUGAUCAAAGCAAAAUGAAAUAGAAAGAGUUUCUAAUGUUUCAUUGUUUGAAUUAUCAUAUAAAAGAUUGAGAAAGAUAUGAAUAAGUGAUUGAGUUUGAUAUUGAUCCAUACUCAUGCACUUAUUCAGGAUGUAGUAUGACUGAGGGAUUGAAUUGCACGGUAACUUGCCACUGAAAGGUAUGUUUGGAUUUGUCCAAUACAUUCCUCAUCUUCCGGGUAGACAUGAUACGUUGCUAGACGUCAAUCUUGUCUUGUGGGUUGAUCGAAUCAAAGAGUUUGAUUAGAUCAAAGCAUCAGAAAGGUUCUGAUUGCUAAGU